Molecule: ribosomal RNA, 693 nt
Filed under: uncultured Bacteroidota bacterium
Lineage: Bacteria; Pseudomonadati; Bacteroidota
Description: bacterial SSU rRNA
Rfam family: Bacterial small subunit ribosomal RNA
Source: RNAcentral
AACGCUAGCUACAGGCUUAACACAUGCAAGUCGAGGGGCAGCAUGAAGUCAGCUUGCUGACUUUGAUGGCGACCGGCGCACGGGUGAGUAACGCGUAUCCAACCUUCCCCUUACUCAGGAAUAGCCCGUUGAAAGACGGAUUAAUGCCUGAUGUUCUCAUAUUGCCGCAUGGCGUUGUGAGCAAAGAUUCAUCGGUAAGGGAUGGGGAUGCGUAUGAUUAGCUUGUUGGCGGGGUAACGGCCCACCAAGGCAACGAUCAUUAGGGGUUCUGAGAGGAAGGUCCCCCACACUGGAACUGAGACACGGUCCAGACUCCUACGGGAGGCAGCAGUGAGGAAUAUUGGUCAAUGGAGGCAACUCUGAACCAGCCAAGUAGCGUGCAGGACGACGGCCCUAUGGGUUGUAAACUGCUUUUAUGCGGGGAUAAAUGAUCCUACGUGUAGGAUUUUGCAGGUACCGCAUGAAUAAGGACCGGCUAAUUCCGUGCCAGCAGCCGCGGUAAUACGGAAGGUCCAGGCGUUAUCCGGAUUUAUUGGGUUUAAAGGGAGCGUAGGCGGCCUGUUAAGCGUGUUGUGAAAUGUAGAGGCUCAACCUCUGCACUGCAGCGCGAACUGGCGGGCUUGAGUUGGCUGAAAGUAUGCGGAAUUCGUGGUGUAGCGGUGAAAUGCUUAGAUAUCACGAAGAACUCCGAUU